RNAcentral lists this ribosomal RNA (327 nucleotides) under Triticum aestivum (bread wheat). RNAcentral describes it as "partial small subunit ribosomal RNA". The record is from RNAcentral. Lineage: Eukaryota; Viridiplantae; Streptophyta; Magnoliopsida; Poales; Poaceae.
UUAGCGAAAGAUAUCAUCAAACCGACAGAUCCUACUUUUAGCUUUGAGCAUGAAAGGAUUAAAGAUGAACGUUUCUGGCCUCAUUUCAAAGGUGCUAUUGGUGCAAUAGACGGAUCACAUGUGCCAGUUUCAGUACCAGCGGAUGAUGCGGUUAACCAUAGAUGUCGGCAUGGUUUUACAUCUCAGAAUGUGCUUGCAAUAUGUGACUUUGACAUGAGGUUUACCUUUGUGGUUGCGGGUUGGCCGGGUUGUGCACAUGACACGAGGAUCCUGAAUCAUGCAUUAUCACAUUUCUCUUCAUUUCCUAUACCUCCCAAAGGUAUGUAA